CGUCGGCCCCUCAUGGCUUCCCGCCCUUUUUCAGACUUCUCAGGGUGGGAAGACCCUGCCCCUCCCAGCUACCCGCCCACAGAAGUCCUCAAAAAGCUGGGAAGGGGUGUGGUGGGGUUUCUUCUUGCUCUUUUGAGGACUUCUGUGGAUGGGCAGCUGUGAGGGGACAGUGUUUCUGCACAUUGAGAGGCUUCUUAGCCCCUUUCCUCUGGGCUGCUCAGCUGUGAGGCCGCGGCGCUCUCUCAGCAGGUUGGUGCCUGCUCCUCAGGGCUGCCGAGAGGCACUGACAUUCUCCUGGCAGGGGGCCCAAACAUGUGAAUUACUGGUACUUUCUUCUUGAAACUGACUUACCGAAGCAAUCUUUGCCUGGAAAUGAACACUUGUAGUUGCUGGCAGCCUCUCAGGGGAAGGUCUGUGGUAGUCCUUGACCCUCCAGAGUUCAAGUAGCAGCAUCAGCCAAAGAGGUAUCACAAAGGCCAUCUCCAGUAUGGUUUUCAUUCUACAAAAGCAAAUUAGUGCCUGAUUGCGAAGUGCUCACUUGGCUAUUCAGGAGACUCCUGCUUUGUGCCUAUUCAAGGCACCUUUUACAGUUUCUGCUGGCCUGCAGUUUUCAAUAAAAGCUCAGAAAGUA
This is a long non-coding RNA of Vidua chalybeata, 631 nucleotides long. RefSeq lists it as uncharacterized. The transcript has 3 exons. The record is from RefSeq and is a predicted model, not a curated record. NCBI's taxonomy places the organism in Eukaryota, Metazoa, Chordata, Aves, Passeriformes, Viduidae.